UUUCCGUAGGUGAACCUGCGGAAGGAUCAUUACAGAGUUCAUGCCCUCACGGGUAGAUCUCCCACCCUUGAAUAUUUAUACCUUAGUUGCUUUGGCAGGCCGUGGAAACACCAUGGGCUCCGGCUUAUGCGUGCCUGCCAGAGGAAACAAACUCUGUUUUUAGUGAUGUAUGAAUACUAUAUAAUAGUUAAAACUUUCAACAACGGAUCUCUUGGUUCUG
Molecule: unclassified non-coding RNA, 220 nt
Filed under: plant metagenome
Description: partial contains small subunit ribosomal RNA, internal transcribed spacer 1, and 5.8S ribosomal RNA
Source: RNAcentral